RNAcentral lists this ribosomal RNA (298 nucleotides) under uncultured Sphingomonadaceae bacterium. Its description in RNAcentral is "partial 16S ribosomal RNA". It matches the Rfam family "Bacterial small subunit ribosomal RNA", at positions 111 to 426 of the family's 1533-position model. Lineage: Bacteria; Pseudomonadati; Pseudomonadota; Alphaproteobacteria; Sphingomonadales; Sphingomonadaceae. The record is from RNAcentral.
UAACGCGUGGGAAUCUGCCUUUCGGUACGGAAUAACUCAGGGAAACUUGUGCUAAUACCGUAUGACGUCGCGAGACCAAAGAUUUAUCGCCUAGGGAUGAGCCCGCGUCGGAUUAGCUAGUUGGUGAGGUAAAGGCUCACCAAGGCGACGAUCCGUAGGUGGUCUGAGAGGAUGAUCAGCCACACUGGGACUGAGACACGGCCCAGACUCCUACGGGAGGCAGCAGUGGGGAUUAUUGGACAAUGGGCGAAAGCCUGAUCCAGCAACGCCGCGUGAGUGAUGAAGGCCUUAGGGUUGU